This is a long non-coding RNA of Manacus vitellinus (golden-collared manakin), 876 nucleotides long. RefSeq lists it as uncharacterized. The transcript is spliced from 3 exons. The record is from RefSeq and is a predicted model, not a curated record. NCBI's taxonomy places the organism in Eukaryota, Metazoa, Chordata, Aves, Passeriformes, Pipridae.
GGGGCUUUUCUUUCUCUCCACUGUAAAGUGGAGGAGAGGCUCAGCACUGGAGCAGAGCCAAAGUGGAUGGGCUAAAUAUAGCUCAGAGCCAGGGAAAGGAAUCCCAGGCAAAAUUGGAGACGGACCGAAGAGAGAGGCCCAGAGGAUGUCUCUGCCGUGAUUUAAACGCAGGACAGCCAAAAACCCGAAGGAGGAAUCAACAUUCCAGGACGCGUACAUUGAUAAGCUACACUACAGCAGCCUACGAAUCGAGGUAUGAGACUGAGAAAGAGAGGUCACACAGCAGACCGAGGAGAAAGGACUCAAAGCUGUCUUCUUGGACUUCGUGAGGAGAAAAACUGCAGCAAACAGCUUGAGGUGUGAAGUACUUCUAACCUUUCAUGUUAGAUUGUCAGUAGGAGAACACCGCAAGAAUCUGAAAUCAGCAAGAGCAUCUGAAACAAGAGAAUCCACUGAAAGACUGCACAGAAGUUUUUGCAUAGGAAGUAGCUCUCCGUAUGAUAGCUCUCAAAGUAGAAAAAUUGAGAAAGCCUGAAAUACUGUGUUUCAUCAGAGCACUGAUCAAGGAGUUAAAAGUUUCAAUGUCUUCAUCAAGGUCCAGAUGAUGGAAGAUUUAACAUGGUCCGCAGAUCUAGAGAUCAAUAUUGAUUCCUCUGAGGAAUAUGUACAAACUACAAGGAAGAAAACAAUGAACAAGCAAUUGGAUAAACUGAGUCAGAGAAAGUUCCAGGUGGACUAAAAAUGUAAGCAUCAGCAAUGUUGCAAAGAGCAUUCAGUGAAUAAAAUCCAACAGCAUGUGCUGAAUAGAACUCACACUGUGUGCAACUAUCUGUCCUGUGUACAAAAUACCAAAUGAUCGCUAUGGAAAUAAUGUGA